UGGAAACGGCGCCAACGGCAGCGGCGGCCCCGCCCCCGCCGCUCGCGCCAGCCGCCCCCAGCAGGAGGCGGGAGUGAGGCGCGCGCCGUGGCGACCGUUGACGGGUGGAACGUGAGGAGCGGCCGGUCCCGGGCGAAGAGGGGGAAGCCUGGCUGGGGAGGCGCCCGAGGCCGCGGUGGAACCAGACGCCUCAUCUCUGCUGGACGGAGUCCGGGUUUCCCUCCUCAUCCCGGUAUCCCGUCUUCACACCUGUGCCGCUUGUCUCUCUCCUUGUGUGCUGGCCUUAUAGGCACCAUUGCAGGUUAAAUCUUGCCAGACCCUUCUUCAGAGGAAGAAAGGGAAAUGUUUUGUUUUGUGCAUGGUUAAACUGUAUUUGCUAUUUUCGUGUCCUGUGCCAGGUGCUUUCUGUUUAUCUUGUCAGCUCUGAAUACACUCUCAUCUGAUUUCCAUCUGAUAAGGAUUUCUGACAUAACCUGUUAAUUUAUUUCUUUGUAAGUGCAGGACGUUGCACUCCAUAAUCCUCAGUUUUAUAUUGUAUUUUGUAAUGUAAUUAUCUCAUUUUUUCCUUCUGUAUGUUAUUUUUCUGAUUUUGUGCCAAGUGUCUUCCUACUCAUUCUGUCAAAAUGUUAAAUAAAAACUGAUCCCAAGGGA
Long non-coding RNA from Columba livia (rock pigeon), 651 nucleotides. RefSeq lists it as uncharacterized. The record is from RefSeq and is a predicted model, not a curated record. Lineage: Eukaryota; Metazoa; Chordata; Aves; Columbiformes; Columbidae. The transcript has 2 exons.